CAGCACCUCAAGUGGUCAGGAUGAUUAUUGGGCCUAAAGCAUCCGUAGCCGGCGCUGUAAGUUUUCGGUUAAAUCUGUACGCUCAACGUACAGGCUGCCGGGAAUACUGCAGCGCUAGGGAGUGGGAGAGGUAGACGGUACUCGGUAGGAAGGGGUAAAAUCCUUUGAUCUAUUGAUGACCACCUGUGGCGAAGGCGGUCUACCAGAACACGUCCGACGGUGAGGGAUGAAAGCUGGGGGAGCAAACCGGAUUAGAGACCCGGGUAGUCC
RNAcentral lists this ribosomal RNA (270 nucleotides) under uncultured archaeon. RNAcentral's name for it is "partial 16S ribosomal RNA". It matches the Rfam family "Archaeal small subunit ribosomal RNA", at positions 477 to 747 of the family's 1478-position model. The record is from RNAcentral.